This 2602-nucleotide ribosomal RNA is filed under the name Dermanyssus gallinae. RNAcentral's name for it is "eukaryotic LSU rRNA". The stretch from base 1392 to 2602 matches the Rfam family "Eukaryotic large subunit ribosomal RNA", at positions 1891 to 3354 of the family's 3401-position model. The record is from RNAcentral. Lineage: Eukaryota; Metazoa; Arthropoda; Arachnida; Mesostigmata; Dermanyssidae.
CGGGGUGGCGCCCGAUCACGCAUUCGGUACGUCGAGGGAAUACUGGAUAUAUACGCUGAAGAUGUGCGUGAGCUCCUAGAGAUGUGCUUCACUGAAGAGUAUUUGACUAGCUUAGAUUCGUUUUUCGAGGAGCACUUCGAUGCGCCCUGCAUACUCGCUGUGCAGCGAAGCACGGUAGUAGGUGCCAUCGUCUACCCUCUGGAACGCGACUCGGAAGGCAAUCUAUACGCCUAUAUCGCGUACGUCGCGGUUGACGAGAAUUUCCGUCGCAACCGGAUUGGUUUCACCCUGGUGUCGGAAGCCAUCCAAGCGUUGACCGCUAUGGGAGCAACCAAAGCUGUUCUUCACACGCAGGUGCACAACGUCGCAUCGCAGAGGCUGUACGCCGAGCUAGGCUUCGUGGUGACGCGAAGAAUUCCCAACUACUAUUCCCCUGAGGUUGACGGGCUGGAGAUGACUCGAAUCUUACGUUAGACGUCGAACCGGUUUACUUAUUGGUCCUGAGCGAGCGAACCUGUGCGCCAAAAUUAAACGCCAAUAUCAACAUUGAGCAAACAUUGGGUUACGUGACAUUCUCUCUGUUGAAGAGAGACUGUCCAGUGAGUCAACGCAGUGAGUGAGUCUCUUUUGCUACGCAAACGAACUUUACGUAUCAAGACUUUGCUCAAUCGAACAGUGAGCUCGAUCAAGUCGUCUUACGUGUCGCCCAGCUGGAAGCAGCUCGUCACCUCAUUCAUGACUCCAGCCAGCCGCGUAUUCUGAAUGGAACUGAGCUUACAGAUACUCGGCAGCCAGGCCACGGCCGUCCGCGGCGCGCAUACAGCAGGACUGCUUUCACUAAACGUUGCUCGAGAAUAUAACGAAAGGUAUUAUUGAAAAUGAUUAAACAGUUGCCAGGCAAAAUUUGGCAAAAACAAAACGUGUUCUUCCAUAUGUCAGCCACAAUCUAGUAAAAUGACAAGAGCAAGAUCGAGUCUGCUGUACAAAAUACGCGGUGGUGGAGAUAAGAUGCUUCUGCGUGCGGGAGUAACUAUGACUCUCUUUCCAGCGUUGAUGCGGAGACCUUCACGCGCCAAUAGAAAGUUGGUCAGGUUGUAUACGCUCCCAAUAGUAACAUUCCCGAGGUCACUGUUGUUGGCGCGGAAGGCAAGGCAUACGAUAGAGGCUAUGUGGCAACGAAUACUUAUUGUCGUAUUGUCGUGGCCCAUUCGAGGGCUGUUAAGGCUAACUUAAUGUACGGGGAAAGUGUGCUGCACACGGACCCCGGGCCGGUCGGUUAACGCCCCGGGCUUAAGCAACCCGGUGGUUCCGACUGGGAUGCCUGCCGCAGUGGCUUAAUAGGAACAAUGGAAGCCGGAAGCCACAUGAAGAAGGGGUGGUAGUGUAUAUUUUAGAGUGUUGUAUAUUCUAGAGUGCAACGCAGAAUCGUGAGGUGAUCGCGUUCGAUUGUCGGGUAGGAGUAGUGUGGUACCCCUUGCCGAACCUCGAUGGGGGGGACGGGGGACAGGAGCUGCUGGCCCGUCUAUUCGGGCUGGCCGGCGCUCCUGCCAUAGGACAAUGCGUAAUCUACGUUGGCGGCGGGAGUGUAAAUAUCCCUCUCUCUUGCUAGCCAAAUGCCUCGUCAUCUAAUUAGCGUGACGCGCUUGAUUGGAUUAACGAGAUUCCCACUGUUCCUAUCUACUGUCUAGCGAAACCGCAGCCAAGAGAACGGGCUUGGAUUGAACGGCGGGGAAGAAGGCCCUGUUGAGCUUGAUUCUAGUCUGACUUUGUGAAAAGACAUAGGUGUAGCAUAAGUGGGAGGCUUGUCAUCAAUGAAAUACCUUUUCUCCUAUUGUUUCUUUACUUACUCAAUGAUGUGAGUAUGGUUUUUCCAUGUUUUAAACAAAAGCAUAGUUAUUUGCGUGAUUUAUAUUGAGGACGUAGUCAGGUGAGGAGUUUGAGUGGGGCGGUACAUCUGCCAAAAAAAUAACGCAGGUGUCCUAAGGCCAGCUCAGCGAGAACAGAACUCUCGGAUAGAGCAAAAGGGUAAAUGCUAACUUGAUCUUAGCUUUCAGUACAAGUGUAGACCAUGAAAGCGUGGCCCCUCGAUCCUUUUGUUUUUAGGAAUUUUACGCAAGGUGUCAGAAAAGUAACUACAGGGAUAACUGGCUUGUGGCGGCCAAGCGUUCAUAGCGACGUCGCUUUUUGAUCUUUCGAUGUCGGCUUUUCCUAUCAUUGCGAAGCAGAUUUUGCCAAGUGUUGGAUUGUUCACCCACUAAUAGGGGACGUGAGCAGGGUUAAAACCGUCGUGAGACAGGUUAGUUGUUUGUUAUAGUGAUGGUGAUCCUGCUUAAUACGAGAGGAACCGUAGAUUUAGACGAUUGGUUUUGUGUUUGAAAAAUCAGAGGCACUAAACUACCAUCUGUAUGGAUUAUGACUGAACGCCUCUAAGUCAGAGUCCAAUCCAGAGUCUGUUGUGUAAGUGAAUAACUGAACAUUAUGAGCUAAUUAAAAUGAAGUAGUGAAGGUCUUCAUAUAGGUUUUCAAUCUUGAAUACGUCCCGGAUGCAGGACAAUCUGCAAAUGACGUUGUUAAUCGAAGUGUUGUAAUCAAGAGAGCAGUU